CGUUGAACGGGCCCUCGCACCCGGUGCCCGUCGGGGGAGCGGCGACCGCGGGACCCCGGCAACCGCGGGGUCAACGCAGGUCGCAGGGCACACGCUGGCGUAACAGUUCACACUUCCCAGAUGUAAAAAUUUUAAAUAAAAGCUUUUGUGCUAAUUAUUUUCUGUGAUAAUAUUUUUCAGAGCUCAUCAUCUGUGACAGCUCUUGGCUCUCCUGACUGUAACCUCUCUGUGGCAGCUUCUCACAGACUCAAUCAACUCCUCUUCCCCUCCCCCCUCAAACACAAACACAAACACACCCACACACACACACAAACACACAGAGAAAUACCCCCUCCCAAAAGGAGAUAAAACUCAGUUUUAACUUGAGUUUACAAGCUUUGAGCUUUGAGCAAAAGCAUUUUUUUAAGUUCUGUUAUUGGGUGCAUAUAUAAAUCAUUUAUGCUUAAACAAGGCUUAUAAUGAAGUUAUUUGAACAGUGAAUAUCUCAUCUGCCUAAAGUCAGGGCGAAGCCACUAACCAGCUGUAGGGAUGGGUAUCAUUAGGAUUUUAUCUUUAUCCAUACAGACCCCUAUCAGUCCAGCUCAGACUGUUACUGGUUUAAGAGAGUGAAGUUUAUAGCAAUUUGCAAAAUUUUGAGAUUAGUGACAAACUAACCAGUUAGACUAUAUACAGACAAGCUUUCAUUUUAGCUGUUAGUAACGGUUUGCCAUGAGCUUAAUCAGCGUGCUGUGCUUCAUGUUAAACAUGUCAUGAGACUGUGGACAACGCUGAAAAUAUUACUUUACUAACUACUGGCCAAACAGGUGCUUUGACAAAGAAAAGGUAAAGGCCAGCAGCUUUUACUUUUCAAUGCACUUGUCGUCAACUUGAGUGGCUUAUAUUCAGCUGGUUAACCUCGACGCCGGUGGACCUAGUGCACUUUUCCUGUCGCCGUACACUGAGUAACACGAAAAAAUCAGCUGACCCUUUGUGAAAUUUCCUAACUGAUCAAAACCAAACUGUAAAGACAGCAUCAAUCCACGCUCAGCUUUGUUCAAGGGGAGACAUAUGGGAGAAGAUGAGUAGAGAGAUAGAAAGAAACAGAAAGGGUGAUGGAGAAAGAUUACAUCAAUUCAAAAUAACCUAGAAUUCCUUAAAAUUAAUUUGAAGCCAGUUUAAUUUUUUGAGCCAGCUUUGACAUCUACAGAUAUGAGUUUCUGAAGAGGGGCCUGCUGAGGUUAGAUGUGCUGAAUAAUAUCCAUUUUCAUAUCAGAAAAAACACUGCAUUAAACAUUGUCUUAGCUCACUGAGCUGAGGUCAACAGGUAAUAUAACCAACCUGUGAGGUGGCUCACCCCCGUAAGAUAAACACAUAAAUGAUCCCUGAUAGAACCGAUAAUUAAAGGCACAUCAGUGACAGGGAAUGCUAUUAAAACUAAACUAUAAACUGGUGACAUUAACUGCAAAAGAAGAUUUUUAUUGAUACAUUUCAGGUAGAAUUUAGUUUUCAAUAAGGGAAACAGUGUAAGAAACCUGAAUUUGUUGCAACAAAUUUAAAAUAAAAGCUUUUAUGCUAAUUAUUUUCUGUGAUAAUAUUUUUCAGAGCUCAUCAUCUGUGACAGCUCAUGGCUCUCUUGACUGUAACCUCUCUGUGGCAGCUUCUCACAGACUCAAUCAACUCCUCUUCCCCUCCCCCCUCAAACACACACACACAGACACACACACACACAGAGACCCCCUUCCAAAAACCCAUCAAAGAGUAAUACAAUGGCUCCAUCUGUAGGAUAAAGUAGAGAGUCGCAACAGGAAGUUACCCCAAAAUCUGAGGUUUCAAACAGGAAGUUGGGUUUCCGAACUUUGACGGGCCAGAACCGGCACACGCUUCGACCCAAACUCACAAUUUUCGGAGCCAGUCUUCCAAAAAUUGUCAAGGAGGGGCUGACAACAUUUGAAGUGAAUCUGGUCACCCGUCUAGAAACUGGACAUCACACUAUAAAAUAUGUCAUUUCCUGCUAUAAAUAGGUGGCGCUACAACAAUUGUAUGAAUAUUGACAUAUGGAUGUGUGCAGAUAGGUACCAUUAACAAUCCUGUAAAGUUUGAUGCAGUUUGGACAAAGUAUGGCCGAAAUAUAGCAAAAAUAAAGCAACUUCCUGUUUCGUGGCGAGUAAUCGAACUUUGAGGGGCCAUAACUUCCACGCCCUUCAACAAAAACUCAAAAUCUGCCGCAAUUUAACAUCGUCUAUGUCUUAAGAACAUACUAUUAAGUUUUGAAGUCAAUGGGAUAAUGCGUCUAGGACUAGUUCGCGUUCAAGCGACCCCUGGAAAUGGCCAAAAACACACAAUUUUUUCACCUUCCGGUCAAAAUAAAAAUACUUUCUGUUGGGUUUAGAAUAUGGCUCCAAGAGACUUUUUGGUGCGUCAUGGGAUGUUACAUAUGUGUGCAGAUUUUCAGAUUUUUAGGCGCAACGGGCUUGAGGGGCUGUUCCGUUUAAAAAUGUAGGUGGCGCUACCGAGGGCAUUUUACCACGCCCAUGCUCAAGACCCCUAAAUUAUUAAAUUUUUCGCCGUGCCUGACGCGUCUGCAAAUUUUGGUAAGUUUUCACACAUGUUAAGGCCCUCAAAAAGCCGAUCUAAGAGGCGGAAAAAGAAGAAAAAAAAUAAUAAUAAUAAUAAUAAUAAUAAUAAUAAUAAUAAUAAACAGACCGAAAACAAGAGGGUCCUUGCAACUCGUUGCAUGGCCCCGUUGGGCCCACGCAACUCGUUGCUCGGGCCCUAAUUAAAGCUGCGAGCAGCGUUGAACGGGCCCUCGCACCCGGCGCCCGUCGGGGGAGCGGCGACCGCGGGACCCCGGCAACCGCGGGGUCAACGCAGGUCGCAGGGCACACGCUGGCGUAACAGUUCACACUUCCCAGAUGUAAAAAUUUUAAAUAAAAGCUUUUAUGCUAAUUAUUUUCUGUGAUAAUAUUUUUCAGAGCUCAUCAUCUGUGACAGCUCUUGGCUCUCCUGACUGUAACCUCUCUGUGGCAGCUUCUCACAGACUCAAUCAACUCCUCUUCCCCUCCCCCCUCAAACACAAACACAAACACAAACACACACACACACACAGAUACCCCCUCCCAAAAGGAGAUAAAACUCAGUUUUAACUUGAGUUUACAAGCUUUGAGCUUUGAGCAAAAGCAUUUUUUUGCAAGUUCUGUUAUUGGGUGCAUAUAUAAAUCAUUUAUGCUUAAACAAGGGUUAUAAUGAAGUUAUUUGAACAGUGAAUAUCUCAUCUGCCUAAAGUCAGGGCGAAGCCACUAACCAGCUGUAGGGAUGGGUAUCAUUAGGAUUUUAUCUUUAUCCAUACAGACCCCUAUCAGUCCAGCUCAGACUGUUACUGGUUUAAGAGAGUGAAGUUUAUAGCAAUUUGCAAAAUUUGGAGAUUAGUGACAAACUAACCAGUUAGACUACAUACAGACAAGCUUUCAUUUUAGCUGUUAGUAACAGUUUGCCAUGAGCUUAACCAGCGUGCUGUGCUUCGUGUUAAACAUGUCAUGAGACUGUGGACAACGUUUGAGCCAGCUUUGACAUCUGCAGAUAUGAGUUUCUGAAGAGGGGCCUGCUGAGGUUAGAUGUGCUGAAUAAUAUCCAUUUUCAUAUCAGAAAAAACACUGCAUUAAACAUUGUCUUAGCUCACUGAGCUGAGGUCAACAGGUAAUAUAACCAACCUGUGAGGUGGCUCACCCCCGUAAGAUAAACACAUAAAUGAUCCCUGAUAGAACCGAUAAUUAAAGGCACAUCAGUGACAGGGAAUGCUAUUAAAACUAAACUAUAAACUGGUGACAUUAACUGCAAAAGAAGAUUUUUAUUGAUACAUUUCAGGUAGAAUUUAGUUUUCAAUAAGGAAAAUGCUGUAAGAAACCUGAAUUUGUUGCAACAAAUUUAAAAUAAAAGCUUUUAUGCUAAUUAUUUUCUGUGAUAAUAUUUUUCAGAGCUCAUCAUCUGUGACAGCUCUUGGCUCUCCUGACUGUAACCUCCCUGUGGCAGCUUCUCACAGACUCAAUCAACUCCUCUUCCCCUCCCCCCUCAAACACACACACACAGACACACACACACAGAGACCCCCUUCCAAAAACCCAUCAAAGAGUAAUACAAUGGCUCCAUCUGUAGGAUAAAGUAGAGAGUCGCAACAGGAAGUUACCCCAAAAUCUGAGGUUUCAAACAGGAAGUUGGGUUUCCGAACUUUGACGGGCCAGAACCGGCACACGCUUCGACCCAAACUCACAAUUUUCGGAGGACUUCUUCCAAAAAUUGUCAAGGAGGGGCUGACAACAUUUGAAGUGAAUCUGGUCACCCGUCUAGAAACUGGACAUCACACUAUAAAAUAUGUCAUUUCCUGCUAUAAAUAGGUGGUGCUACAACAAUUGUAUGAAUAUUGACAUAUGGAUGUGUGCAGAUAGGUACCAUUAACAAUCCUGUAAAGUUUGAUGCAGUUUGGACAAAGUAUGGCCGAAAUAUAGCAAAAAUAAAGCAACUUCCUGUUUCGUGGCGAGUAAUCGAACUUUGAGGGGCCAUAACUUCCACGCCCUUCAACAAAAACUCAAAAUCUGCCGCAAUUUAACAUCGUCUAUGUCUUAAGAACAUACUAUUAAGUUUUGAAGUCAAUGGGAUAAUGCGUCUAGGACUAGUUCGCGUUCAAGCGACCCCUGGAAAUGGCCAAAAACACACAAUUUUUUCACCUUCCGGUCAAAAUAAAAAUACUUUCUGUUGGGUUUAGAAUAUGGCUCCAAGAGACUUUUUGGUGCGUCAUGGGAUGUUACAUAUGUGUGCAGAUUUUCAGAUUUUUAGGCGCAACGGGCUUGAGGGGCUGUUCCGUUUAAAAAUGUAGGUGGCGCUACCGAGGGCAUUUUACCACGCCCAUGCUCAAGACCCCUAAAUUAUUAAAUUUUUCGCCGUGCCUGACGCGUCUGCAAAUUUUGGUAAGUUUUCACGCAUGUUAAGGCCCUCAAAAAGCCGAUCUAAGAGGCGGAAAAAGAAGAAAAAAAAUAAUAAUAAUAAUAAUAAUAAUAAUAAUAAUAAUAAUAAACAGACCGAAAACAAGAGGGUCCUUGCAACUCGUUGCAUGGCCCCGUUGGGCCCACGCAACUCGUUGCUCGGGCCCUAAUAAUAAUAAACAGACCGAAAACAAGAGGGUCCUUGCAACUCGUUGCAUGGCCCCGUUGGGCCCACGCAACUCGUUGCUCGGGCCCUAAUAAUAAUAAACCGAACGAAAACAAGAGGGUCCUUGCAACUCGUUGCAUGGCCCCGUUGGGCCCACGCAACUCGUUGCUCGGGCCCUAAUUAAAGCUGCGAGCAGCGUUGAACGGGCCCUCGCACCCGGCGCCCGUCGGGGGAGCGGCGACCGCGGGACCCCGGCAACCGCGGGGUCAACGCAGGUCGCAGGGCACACGCUGGCGUAACAGUUCACACUUCCGAGAUGUAAAAAUUUCAAAUAAAAGCUUUUAUGCUAAUUAUUUUCUGUGAUAAUAUUUUUCAGAGCUCAUCAUCUGUGACAGCUCUUGGCUCUCCUGACUGUAACCUCUCUGUGGCAGCUUCUCACAGACUCAAUCAACUCCUCUUCCCCUCCCCCCUCAGACACACACAGACACACACACACAGAGACCCCCUUCCAAAAACCCAUCAAAGAGUAAUACAAUGGCUCCAUCUGUAGGAUAAAGUAGAGAGUCGCAACAGGAAGUUACCCCAAAAUCUGAGGUUUCAAACAGGAAGUUGGGUUUCCGAACUUUGACGGGCCAGAACCGGCACACGCUUCGACCAAAACUCACAAUUUUCGGAGCCAGUCUUCCAAAAAUCCUUAAGUCUGUCCUGACAACAUUUGAAGUGAAUCUGGUCACCCGUCUAGAAACUGGACAUCACACUAUAAAAUAUGUCAUUUCCUGCUAUAAAUAGGUGGUGCUACAACAAUUGUAUGAAUAUUGACAUAUGGAUGUGUGCAGAUAGGUACCAUUAACAAUCCUGUAAAGUUUGAUGCAGUUUGGACAAAGUAUGGCCGAAAUAUAGCAAAUUUAAAGCAACUUCCUGUUUUGUGGCGAGUGAUCGAACUUUGAGGGGCCAUAACUUCCACGCCCUUCAAUGAAAAGUCCGAAACUUUUGCAAUUUAACUUCGUCUAUGUCUUAAGAACAAAUUAUCAAAUUUUGAAGUCAAUCGGAUAAUGCGUCUAGGACUAGUUCGCGUUCAAGCGACCCCUGGAAAUGGCCAAAAACACACAAUUUUUUCACCUUCCGGUCAAAAUAAAAAUACUUUCUGUUGGGUUUAGAAUAUGGCUCCAAGAGACUUUUUGGUGCGUCAUGGGAUGUUACAUAUGUGUGCAGAUUUUCAGAUUUUUAGGCGCAACGGGCUUGAGGGGCUGUUCCGUUAAAAAUGUAGGUGGCGCUACCGAGGCCAUUUUGCCACACCCAUGCUCAAGACCCCUAAAUUCUUAAAUUUUUCGCCGUGCCUGACGCGUCUGCAAAUUUUCAGGAGUUUUGACGCGUUUUAAGGCCCUCAAAAAGGCGAUCAAAGAGGCGGAAAAAGAAGAAAAAAAAUAAUAAUAAUAAUAAUAAUAAUAAUAAACCGAACGAAAACAAGAGGGUCCUUGCAACUCGUUGCAUGGCCCCGUUGGGCCCACGCAACUCGUUGCUCGGGCCCUAAUAAUAAUAAUAAUAAACAGACCGAAAACAAGAGGGUCCUUGCAACUCGUUGCAUGGCCCCGUUGGGCCCACGCAACUCGUUGCUCGGGCCCUAAUAAUAAUAAUAAUAAUAAUAAACAGACCGAAAACAAGAGGGUCCUUGCAACUCGUUGCAUGGCCCCGUUGGGCCCACGCAACUCGUUGCUCGGGCCCUAAUAAUAAUAAUAAUAAACAGACCGAAAACAAGAGGGUCCUUGCAACUCGUUGCAUGGCCCCGUUGGGCCCACGCAACUCGUUGCUCGGGCCCUAAUAAUAAUAAACCGAACGAAAACAAGAGGGUCCUUGCAACUCGUUGCAUGGCCCCGUUGGGCCCACGCAACUCGUUGCUCGGGCCCUAAUAAUGGCUGGGAAGUUUGUACCACUUCUGUUAUACAUUUUCAAACUUUUGUACACAUAGGUUAAAUAAAGUGCUGUACUGUUUA
This is a long non-coding RNA of Lates calcarifer (barramundi perch), 7109 nucleotides long. RefSeq lists it as uncharacterized. The record is from RefSeq and is a predicted model, not a curated record. The transcript has 2 exons. NCBI's taxonomy places the organism in Eukaryota, Metazoa, Chordata, Actinopteri, Centropomidae.